AUGGAGAGGAAAUUGCAGCUAAAAGACUCGCCAGAUAUUCAGGACAGGGUUUCACAGAAUUCAAAAAUGAAGUUGAACUUAUUGCGAAAUUACAACACAAUAAUCUGGUCAAGCUCUUGGGAUGCUGCAUUCAGGGAGAGAAAAGACUUUUGGUAUUGUUGCUUUCCAUACUUCAAACCAUGCAUGUUCUCUAAUGUGCAGAUCAGAAUAGAACAACUUUGGUUGAUUGGAAUAAACGACGUGAAAGGCAUAGCCCAAGGUCUUUUGUAUCUCCACAAGCACUCUCGGCUACGCAUCAGACAUAGAGACCUUAUUAAGGCAAGCAACAUUCUCUUGGACCAGGAUAUGAAUCCUAAAAUCUCUGAUUUUGGACGAGCAAAAAAUUUCAGCUCCAAUGAUACUCAAGGAAACACAAAUAGGGUGGUGGGAACAUAUGGUUAUAUGUCUCCUGAGUAUGCCUACAAAGAGAUUUACUCAAUCAAAUCAGACGUGUUCAGCUUUGGUGUGUUACUUCUCGAGAUCCUUAGUGGAAAAAGGAAUUCUGGUUUCCACAAGUCUGAAGAUUUUAUCAACCUCCUUGGAUAUUCGUGGCAGCUCUGGGAAUGUGGAAGAUAUCUUGAGCUUCUAGAAGCAUCAAUUGUGGAAAUUCAUCCAGCAGAGGCGAGAAGGUUCAUUCACAUUGUACUGAUGUGCGUACAAGAGAAUGCAGAUGAUCGACUAACCACGUCAAAUGCCGUUGCAAUGUUAAACAACGAGAAUGUUAUUCUUCCAGAUCCUAAUCAUCCAGCAUACUUCAGUCUAAGAGUACCUAAUAUACAUGAAUCGGCCACUGCUGUUGUGCCAUGUAGUAAUAAUGAUGUAACCAUUACUGAGCAGCCAGAUGGAAGAUAA
Molecule: ribosomal RNA, 891 nt
Filed under: Triticum aestivum (bread wheat)
Lineage: Eukaryota; Viridiplantae; Streptophyta; Magnoliopsida; Poales; Poaceae
Description: partial small subunit ribosomal RNA
Source: RNAcentral